AUGUUAGACAUACCCGGGGUGGGUAGCACAGGCAUGGGACCACAGCCUCUUAGCCAGGGAACCUGCACAGUGCCUGGACCCAGAUGAGAGACCCAGACCAUGCCAAGUCUUCAGGGAGAAGAAGGAGAUUGGGACGUGGAGGGGAAAUAGGAUUCGGGGCCUUCCAGGGUCAGUGAGAGAUGCCAGUGAGAACUGACGAGCUGGAGGGCUGGACAGAAGUCAGCAGGCUCCUGGCUCAUGCACAUUUACUUUCUUUCUCUUUCUGUCAAUUACAAAUUAAAACAUACUAGUGGUAAACAUUUCAAACAUCAGAGAACAAAAGAACAAAAAUGGAAGUUCCCCUCUUUCACAAUUUCCCAGUGGUCAAUGUGAAUUGUUUGGUAUUUAUCCUUCCAGACAUUUAUGUAUGAACCUACAAACAAGCAGGAAAAUUGAAACUCAGAAAAAGAAAGUGACUGGCUCAAGACCACAUGACCCAAGUUAGGGCUGCAAUGUCCUGGAGAGGAAGGAAAGCUCAAGGAAGACUUGUUUGAGGGGCACCUUGAAGAAGUAAAAAGAGCCACAGCUAUGGCUAUCUCCAACCCUGAGGCCAGCCAGCUGAGCUCUUGAGGUUGGCUCAGUGCAUGGGUCCUGAAGCUCUGUCACAAGGAUACUUAUAAGGACACCAGGAUGGGCAGGCACAGAUUCUAGAAGACUUGUUCCCUGUGGAUUAUGGCAAUGCCAGUCUCUGCUCUGCCCUCAGGCAGAAGUUGUCUAAAGCUCAUUGCCCUGAGCAGUGUCAGGAACUGAGGAGGAACAUGUUCCAGCUGGCUUUGGAGCAUCUCUUCACAAACUCAUUUCCCAUAGAAUACUCUUAAAGUAAGAAUAUAUCAGAACACCACCAGAAGGUCACGACCUCCAGAUUAAAGGAGACAUCCCAGUCUCACAAAACAACAGAGGUGUCACAAAUUAACUGCUACAAGAAAUGAUAAAAAAUGUAUUCCUAUUUUGAAUAGACAGUAAGUACUGAGCACCACAGUCACUGAAACUAUAAGACUAGGUGCAAGACACAGUAAAAUUAUCAAAUAUCUUAAAUGCAAUUCAGUAUGUGGUUGGAGAACACAUUAAUUAAGAUGAAAGUGAAGAAAUAUUUGUUGAAAUGAAGCAAUGCAUUUGUGCACCGGGGAAUAGUUCAGGAAGCUUGUAGGACUUCUUGAUGUGUUAGUUCAGGUCCUCCUGGAAGCAAAUGUCAGAAGGGGAUUAAAUGUGGGAUAGAUUUAUUGAGGAAAAGACUCGUGAGGGAAAACAGGCAAGGAGCCGAGGAAGCUGGGAGAGCUGGCAGGAGAUGGCGCCAGUGAGACCCGGAUGGAGGACAGAGAGGAAGGAAUGAAGAUUGGGCUGGGAAAGUCUUAGACUGUGAUGAAAUUUUAAGAAAGUUUCAGCAGAGCCACGGGGUCUUCCUCAAUCUGAAAUUGCCCAUUAGAAGACUCGUUGGUCUCCCAAGAUAGCCCUGGCUUCCAGCCCUUGCCUGCUCAGUCACUGCCCGGGGGCAAGCCAUGGGAAGUGUGGUCUUGGAGAGAAUGUGGCAAGGGAUUUCUGCCAUUACGGUGGGCCCUGCACAGUGCUUGGGUGUGGCAUACCAUUUAUUAAAGGCAAUGAUUAUGUCACAGCAGGAUCAAUCAUAGAAACGUGUUUAUUUUUAUUAUGCAUAUAUUUUUCCAAUAAAUUUUAUUUAUUAUUAUUUUUUCCAAUAAAUUUAAAAGGGUGAAAAUAUCACUAGCCUUGAUUGCAUUUUAGAAUGCUACAUUACAUCUCAAAAAACAUUUUGGAAAAUUCUGAGUUCCUUUGAUGCCUAGCCAAGGAUAAUUGGGUUUGUGGAAAGAAGAUACAGGACAGGUGGGAAAUCUGGGUUCUAGCCUAGUUCUGCCACCAAUUUGCUCUGGGAACUUCUUCAAUCCAUUUCUUUAGUUUUCACACCUUAAAAUGGGUACAAACAAGAGAGGCUCAUACCUGUCUCUGGGGACCUGCAGUUCCAAGUCCCGUAGAGACAGGCUCCUGGGCAGAGGACUUUAUGGCAAUGUGACUGCUUUUGUGGCAUCAGAGGCUGCUUGCACUCCCCACCCUGUACCCACUUGGGCAUGCCAAGCAGGAACCUAGCUGCCCACCACCCUCUACUUGUGGCCUUCCGGAGCAGACUGAUUCAGCUUCUGUAUUUUCAUUUCCCCCCUGUCAGCUGUUAGAGCAGCUUUGAGUGCUGGAAGGUGAGGAGGCUUUGGAAGGGGGCUGUGGUAGACAAGGGGGAAGGUGUCACCUUCCAAAACAACCCCUGGCCACUUUGAAGCAGACUCAACACCACCCCGUUUCCAGGAAACCCUCAGAGGCUGAGCGAAGGAGGGUGUUUUUAAGAAAUGUAGCCUGGUGCAAGAUUGCAAGGCCUCCCGGACAGAAGGGGGACAAGCCAAGAGCCUGAGGUCCAAUCAGAUUUGGAGGGGGAUCAGGGAGCAGAAUGAGGUGGACAGGGGUUAAUGGUGAGAUCAGGGUAUGAGGUCCCCAAGGGUGAGGUCUGUGUCUCCUUCAUCUGACUAGGAGUUCCUAGAUGGCCGUGUCCUGGUCUCCCUUUGAGAUGAGGAGGCUUGUGUCUUGCAUUAAAUCAAGAGUUUAAUACGGGGCCUCCAAAACGCAGCCUCAUCAAUUUAUCUCCCCAAGUCUAGUGGCAAAGCUUCCCAUCUCCCAAAAGUCUGCUUCUAUUAAGGCUCUCCACUCCACCCUCUG
Canis lupus familiaris (dog) is the source of this 2751-nucleotide RNA transcript. It is a transcript of the gene named lin-28 homolog A, with no coding region annotated. NCBI's taxonomy places the organism in Eukaryota, Metazoa, Chordata, Mammalia, Carnivora, Canidae. The record is from RefSeq and is a predicted model, not a curated record. The transcript is spliced from 4 exons.